This 359-nucleotide ribosomal RNA is filed under the name uncultured eukaryote. RNAcentral describes it as "partial 18S ribosomal RNA". It matches the Rfam family "Eukaryotic small subunit ribosomal RNA", at positions 592 to 976 of the family's 1831-position model. The record is from RNAcentral.
CAAUAGCGUAUAUUUAAGUUGCUGCAGUUAAAAAGCUCGUAGUUGAAGUUUGGGCCUGGGCGGGCGGUCUACCUAUGGUGAGUACUGCUGCGGCCGGGUCUUUCCUUCUGGCUAGCCCUCGGGCGAACCAGGACGAUUACUUUGAGGAAAUUAGAGUGUUCAAAGCAGGCCUUUGCUCGGAUAUAUUAGCAUGGAAUAAUAGAAUAGGACGCAUGGUUCUAUUUUGUUGGUUUCUAGGACCAUCGUAAUGAUUAAUAGGGACGGUCGGGGGCAUCAGUAUUCAGUUGUCAGAGGUGAAAUUCUUGGAUUAACUGAAGACUAACUACUGCGAAAGCAUUUGCCAAGGACGUUUUCAUUAA